This 911-nucleotide small RNA is filed under the name Pongo abelii (Sumatran orangutan). Its description in RNAcentral is "retained intron". Lineage: Eukaryota; Metazoa; Chordata; Mammalia; Primates; Hominidae. The record is from RNAcentral.
UACGGGUGCCAGAAUCUCUUACUGUCAAUGCCCUCUCUAGGUCCCAAAACUCACCAUUUGCCCCCACCCCUUUUGCUUAAAUGACGUGGUUCUUAUCUCAGAUCCUGAUAUAAAGCUCCUACAGCUACCUGGCCUGAGAAGCCAACUCAGACUCAGCCAACAGAGAUUGUUGAUUUGCCUCUUAAGCAAGAGAUUCAUUGAAGCUCAGCAUGGCUCAGACCAGCUCAUACUUCAUGCUGAUCUCCUGCCUGAUGUUCCUGUCUCAGAGCCAAGGCCAAGAGGCCGAGACAGAGUUGCCCCAGGCCCGGAUCAGCUGCCCAGAAGGCACCAAUGCCUAUGGCUCCUACUGCUACUACUUUAAUGAAGACCGUGAGACCUGGGUUGAUGCAGAUGUGAGUGAGGAGAGCAGUGUGGGAAGGGAGGCUCAUGAAGGGAGGGGAAGCUGCCACUCUCCAGUGUGUUCAGUGGCUGCAAUGAGAUGAGACUGAACCCCUCGCUAUACUAUCAUCAGCCCCAAACUUUCCAAUCUACUUUAUCCCAUUAUUCAGCACAUUCCCAGCACAAAGAACCUGGUGGUCAGUGACAGCAUCAUCAUGGACAUUACUGUGCUGUCCUUUUUCUGACCCAUCCUCUUGGAGGACUCGGUAUAUCCCUCACACCUUCCUCCUCCACUGAGUGCUCCAUUUUCUUCUGCAACAGCUCUAUUGCCAAAACAUGAAUUCAGGCAACCUGGUGUCUGUGCUCACCCAGGCCGAGGGUGCCUUUGUGGCCUCACUGAUUAAGGAGAGUGGCACUGGUGACUUCAAUGUCUGGAUUGGCCUCCAUGACCCCAAAAAGGUAGGCUGCAGCCUUCUUUAUCUCCUAAUGAUCAGGUUUGAGAAGUAAGAAGGAGGUUCAAGUUCUGGUCUCUU